Molecule: long non-coding RNA, 586 nt
Filed under: Cricetulus griseus (Chinese hamster)
Lineage: Eukaryota; Metazoa; Chordata; Mammalia; Rodentia; Cricetidae
Description: lncRNA (ENSCGRG00015030141.1)
Source: RNAcentral
CUAUAACUUAAAUUCACUUUUUUAAAUCUACAUUCUGCCUCAUGGCUCCGUACCUCAUCUCCAUCCUGCACUUCCUGCUCCCCCUGCAUCUUGCUGGGGCAUCUGCCUCUCUUCCCAAAGUUCUCUCUAGGCAGAAGUCCACCUAUCUUCUCUUGCCCAGCUUUUACUGCACGAAUCACAGCAGCACACUUCACACAGUGCACAAAUAUCCCAGAACACGGGUCCUCCUCAAGAACAGUUCAAGCUCACAGGGUGGGAGAGCGCCACUGAAACAGACAGAGAACAAAAGUGAAAGAGAAAGGAGGCCAACGCCCCCGGGGGCUGUGCAGGAAAAGCCGGCAGGAAAUGAGACAGACUGAAACUGGAUUCUCGAGUUCUCUGCAGGAUUAACUCACGUGCCCAGCGAGGGCACUGGGAAACACAGUGGCUUCCUGCUCACCCGUCCUGUCCCCAAGCAGCCUCUCUAUAUGGCUAGGCUAGGACAAAAAAUGUGCCAGUUGAAAACAGCAUGGUGGUCUCAAGGUAGUCUAGCUGUUGUGUCGUCUCAGGGUUCUCUGAAGAAGGCACAUCCAAAGAGAGCCAAUGA